Non-coding RNA from Nematostella vectensis (starlet sea anemone), 72 nucleotides. The record is from Rfam. NCBI's taxonomy places the organism in Eukaryota, Metazoa, Cnidaria, Anthozoa, Actiniaria, Edwardsiidae.
GCCUCGUUAGCUCAGUGGCAGAGCACUGGUCUUGUAAACCAGGGGUCGGGAGUUCGAACCUCCCACGGGGCU